UACCUACGGGACGCAGCAGUGAGGAAUAUUGGUCAAUGGGAGAGAUCCUGAACCAGCCAAGCCGCGUGAGGGAAGACGGCCCUAUGGGUUGUAAACCUCUUUUGUCGGAGAACAAAACCCGGGACGUGUCCCGGACUGCGUGUAUCCGAAGAAAAAGCAUCGGCUAACUCCGUGCCAGCAGCCGCGGUAAUACGGAGGAUGCGAGCGUUAAUCGGAAUUACUGGGCGUAAAGCGCACGUAGGCUGUAUGACAAGUCAAGGGUGAAAUGCCACGGCUCAACCGUGGAACUGCCUU
RNAcentral lists this ribosomal RNA (294 nucleotides) under uncultured bacterium. Its description in RNAcentral is "partial 16S ribosomal RNA". It matches the Rfam family "Bacterial small subunit ribosomal RNA", at positions 335 to 627 of the family's 1533-position model. The record is from RNAcentral.